UCGAGGAUCUUUCGCAAUGGGCGAAAGCCUGACGAAGCGACGCUGUGUGAGCGAUGAAGGCCUUCGGGUCGUAAAGCUCUUUCGCAUAAGAACAAGGGAGGUUGGUGAAUAGCCAGCUAACUUGAGGGUACUAUGUAAAGAAGCACCGGCUAACUCCGUGCCAGCAGCUGCGGUAAUACGGAGGGUGCAAGCAUUAAUCGGAUUUAUUGGGCGUAAAGGGCGCGUAGGCGGAUUUGUAAGUCAGAUGUGAAAUUCCGAAGCUCAACUUCGGAGCUGCAUUUGAAACUACAAGACUAGAGGAGUGGCGGAGAAAACGGAAUUCCACGUGUAGCGGUGAAAUGCGUAGAUAUGUGGAAGAACACCUGUGGCGAAAGCGGUUUUCUAGCUUAUUCCUGACGCU
Molecule: ribosomal RNA, 400 nt
Filed under: uncultured bacterium
Lineage: Bacteria
Description: bacterial SSU rRNA
Rfam family: Bacterial small subunit ribosomal RNA
Source: RNAcentral